Molecule: ribosomal RNA, 242 nt
Filed under: uncultured Lachnospiraceae bacterium
Lineage: Bacteria; Bacillati; Bacillota; Clostridia; Lachnospirales; Lachnospiraceae
Description: partial 16S ribosomal RNA
Rfam family: Bacterial small subunit ribosomal RNA
Source: RNAcentral
GGCGGACGGGUGAGUAACGCGUGGGUAACCUGCCUUAUACAGGGGGAUAACAGUUGGAAACGACUGCUAAUACCGCAUAAGCGCACAGUACCGCAUGGUACAGUGUGAAAAACUCCGGUGGUAUGAGAUGGACCCGCGUCUGAUUAGCUAGUUGGUGGGGUAACGGCCCACCAAGGCGACGAUCAGUAGCCGACCUGAGAGGGUGAUCGGCCACAUUGGGACUGAGACACGGCCCAGACUCC